UACGUAGGUGACAAGCGUUGUCCGGAUUUACUGGGCGUAAAGAGCGCGCAGGCGGUCGUUCAAGUCGAGUGUGAAAGCCCCCGGCUCAACUGGGGAGGGUCACUCGAUACUGAUCGACUCGAAGGCAGGAGAGGGAAGUGGAAUUCCCGGUGUAGUGGUGAAAUGCGUAGAUAUCGGGAGGAACACCAGUGGCGAAGGCGGAUCUCUGGGCCUUACCUGACGCUCAGGUGCGAAAGCUAGGGGAGCAAACGGG
Molecule: ribosomal RNA, 253 nt
Filed under: uncultured bacterium
Lineage: Bacteria
Description: partial 16S ribosomal RNA
Rfam family: Bacterial small subunit ribosomal RNA
Source: RNAcentral